AUGAACGCUGGCGGCGUGCCUAAUACAUGCAAGUCGAGCGAACGGACGAGAAGCUUGCCUCUCUGAUGUUAGCGGCGGACGGGUGAGUAACACGUGGAUAACCUACCUAUAAGACUGGGAUAACUUCGGGAAACCGGAGCUAAUACCGGAUAAUAUUUUGAACCGCAUGGUUCAAAAGUGAAAGACGGUCUUGCUGUCACUUAUAGAUGGAUCCGCGCUGCAUUAGCUAGUUGGUAAGGUAACGGCUUACCAAGGCAACGAUGCAUAGCCGACCUGAGAGGGUGAUCGGCCACACUGGAACUGAGACACGGUCCAGACUCCUACGGGAGGCAGCAGUAGGGAAUCUUCCGCAAUGGGCGAAAGCCUGACGGAGCAACGCCGCGUGAGUGAUGAAGGUCUUCGGAUCGUAAAGCUCUGUUAUUAGGGAAGAACAUAUGUGUAAGUAACUGUGCACAUCUUGACGGUACCUAAUCAGAAAGCCACGGCUAACUACGUG
Molecule: ribosomal RNA, 496 nt
Filed under: uncultured bacterium
Lineage: Bacteria
Description: partial 16S ribosomal RNA
Rfam family: Bacterial small subunit ribosomal RNA
Source: RNAcentral